UACGGAGGGAGCUAGCGUUGUUCGGAAUUACUGGGCGUAAAGCGCACGAAGGCGGCUUUGUAAGUUAGAGGUGAAAGCCCGGGGCUCAACUCCGGAACUGCCUUUAAGACUGCAUCGCUUGAAUCCAGGAGAGGUGAGUGGAAUUCCGAGUGUAGAGGUGAAAUUCGUAGAUAUUCGGAAGAACACCAGUGGCGAAGGCGGCUCACUGGACUGGUAUUGACGCUGAGGUGCGAAAGCGUGGGGAGCAAACAGG
This 253-nucleotide ribosomal RNA is filed under the name uncultured bacterium. RNAcentral describes it as "partial 16S ribosomal RNA". It matches the Rfam family "Bacterial small subunit ribosomal RNA", at positions 524 to 776 of the family's 1533-position model. The record is from RNAcentral.